RNAcentral lists this long non-coding RNA (726 nucleotides) under Homo sapiens (human). RNAcentral's name for it is "SRD5A3 antisense RNA 1". Lineage: Eukaryota; Metazoa; Chordata; Mammalia; Primates; Hominidae. The record is from RNAcentral.
CCACCAUACGACUGGAAUCACACAUACACUGCCACAAGAGGUCUGCAGUGAAGGUCCCAAAGUCCCAGACAAGUCCCCUCUUGUUGCCCAGGCUGGAGUGCAGCAGCAUGAUUACAGCUCACAUCAGCCUCGACCUCCCGGGCUCAAGCUAUCCUCCUACCUCAGCCUCCCAAGUAGCUGGGACUAUAGAUAAGACUGAAAGCAACACCAGCCAGUCUUGGGAAAUAUAAAGUCACAAAUAAAUUUUGAUAAUUUUUCAUUUCGUAAAGGAUCUUUCUGCUGAUGCAGCUGUUAAGAGUGUUUCAUAAACUGUGACAACACUAAGCAAAAUCAUAGAAGGAAACUCUAUGGACAAUUUCAGAUGGAGAAGAAGAAAGGACUGGAAGUUCAAUUUGGCCAUGACAAUUAGAGGCCAGGUGCAGUGCAUGUAAUCCCAGCACUUUGGGAGACUGAGAUGGGAAGAUCGCUUGAGGCCAGGAGUGCAAGACCAGCCUGGGCAACACAGCAAGACCUUGAUUCUACUAAAAAAAAAAAAGGAUCCUUCAACUUCAACAAUAAUAACACAAGGGAAGUGAAGAAAAACACUUUCUAAGGAAAUCUCUCUCUGAGCUACCAUCCUGCUAGGGAGAGCCUGAAAGCAGAAUGCUGACUUGACUAGCUCUGGUCAAUGAAAGAAAUCACCAGUGGAAAGGCUACCAGGGGGCUUUCUCAAAAGAGAGGGACAGU